RNAcentral lists this ribosomal RNA (274 nucleotides) under uncultured bacterium. Its description in RNAcentral is "partial 16S ribosomal RNA". It matches the Rfam family "Bacterial small subunit ribosomal RNA", at positions 523 to 796 of the family's 1533-position model. The record is from RNAcentral.
AUACGGAGGGGGCUAGCGUUGUUCGGAAUUACUGGGCGUAAAGGGCACGUUGGCGGAUCGGACAGUCAGGCGUGAAAGCCCCGGGCUUAACCUGGGAACUGCGUUUGAUACUGCCGAUCUUGAGUCCGGGAGAGGGUAGUGGAAUUCCCAGUGUAGAGGUGAAAUUCGUAGAUAUUGGGAAGAACACCGGUGGCGAAGGCGGCUACCUGGCCCGGUACUGACGCUAAGGUGCGAAAGCGUGGGGAGCAAACAGGAUUAGAUACCCCGGUAGUCC